CUCCUACGGGUGGCAGCAGUGGGGAAUCUUGCGCAAUGGACGAAAGUCUGACGCAGCAACGCCGCGUGAGGGACGAAGGCUUUCUGAGUUGUAACCUCUUUCGACAGGAACGAUUGUGACGGUACCUGUAGAAGAAGCACCGGCCAACUAUGUGCCAGCCGCCGCGGUAAUUC
This 173-nucleotide ribosomal RNA is filed under the name uncultured bacterium. Its description in RNAcentral is "partial 16S ribosomal RNA". It matches the Rfam family "Bacterial small subunit ribosomal RNA", at positions 336 to 526 of the family's 1533-position model. The record is from RNAcentral.